AGUCGCCGCGGUAAUACAGAGGGUGCAAGCGUUAAUCGGAAUUACUGGGCGUAAAGCGCGCGUAGGUGGUUCGCCAAGUUGGAUGUGAAAUCCCCGGGUUCAACCUGGGAACUGCAUCCAAAACUGGCGAGCUAGAGUAUGGUAGAGGGUGGUGGAAUUUCCUGUGUAGCGGUGAAAUGCGUAGAUAUAGGAAGGAACAUCAGUGGCGAAGGCGACCACCUGGACUGAUACUGACACUGAGGUGCGAAAGCGUGGGGAGCAAACAGGAUUAGAUACCCCAGUAGUCCCUGUCUCUUAUACC
Molecule: ribosomal RNA, 301 nt
Filed under: uncultured bacterium
Lineage: Bacteria
Description: partial 16S ribosomal RNA
Rfam family: Bacterial small subunit ribosomal RNA
Source: RNAcentral